This 1287-nucleotide ribosomal RNA is filed under the name Bacillus sp. BSE01. RNAcentral's name for it is "bacterial SSU rRNA". It matches the Rfam family "Bacterial small subunit ribosomal RNA", at positions 30 to 1310 of the family's 1533-position model. The record is from RNAcentral. Lineage: Bacteria; Bacillati; Bacillota; Bacilli; Caryophanales; Bacillaceae.
CGGACCUGGCGCGUGCCUAUCAUGCUAGUCGAGCGGACAGAAGGGAGCUUGCUCCCGGAUGUUAGCGGCGGACGGGUGAGUAACACGUGGGUAACCUGCCUGUAAGACUGGGAUAACUCCGGGAAACCGGAGCUAAUACCGGAUAGUUCCUUGAACCGCAUGGUUCAAGGAUGAAAGACGGUUUCGGCUGUCACUUACAGAUGGACCCGCGGCGCAUUAGCUAGUUGGUGAGGUAACGGCUCACCAAGGCGACGAUGCGUAGCCGACCUGAGAGGGUGAUCGGCCACACUGGGACUGAGACACGGCCCAUACUCCUACGGGAGGCAGCAGUAGGGAAUCUUCCACAAUGGACGAAAGUCUGACGGAGCAACGCCGCGUGAGUGAUGAAGGUUUUCGGAUCGUAAAGCUCUGUUGUUAGGGAAGAACAAGUGCAAGAGUAACUGCUUGCACCUUGACGGUACCUAACCAGAAAGCCACGGCUAACUACGUGCCAGCAGCCGCGGUAAUACGUAGGUGGCAAGCGUCGUCCGGAUUAUUGGGCGUAAAGGGCUCGCAGGCGGUUUCUUAAGUUUGAUGUGAAAGCCCCCCGGCUCAACCGGGGAGGGUCAUUGGAAACUGGGAAACUUGAGUGCAGAAGAGGAGAGUGGAAUUCCACGUGUAGCGGUGAAAUGCGUAGAGAUGUGGAGGAACACCAGUGGCGAAGGCGACUCUCUGGUCUGUAACUGACGCUGAGGAGCGAAAGCGUGGGGAGCGAACAGGAUUAGUUACCCUGGUAGUCCACGCCGUAAACGAUGAGUGCUAAGUGUUAGGGGGUUUCCGCCCCUUAGUGCUGCAGCUAACGCAUUAAGCACUCCGCCUGGGGAGUACGGUCGCAAGACUGAAACUCAAAGGAAUUGACGGGGGCCCGCACAAGCGGUGGAGCAUGUGGUUUAAUUCGAAGCAACGCGAAGAACCUUACCAGGUCUUGACAUCCUCUGACAACCCUAGAGAUAGGGCUUUCCCUUCGGGGACAGAGUGACAGGUGGUGCAUGGUUGUCGUCAGCUCGUGUCGUGAGAUGUUGGGUUAAGUCCCGCAACGAGCGCAACCCUUGAUCUUAGUUGCCAGCAUUCAGUUGGGCACUCUAAGGUGACUGCCGGUGACAAUCCGGAGGAAGUUGGGGAUGACGUCAAAUCAUCAUGCCCCUUAUGACCUGGGCUACACACGUGCUACAAUGGACUGAACAAAGGGCUGCGAGACGGCAAGGGUUAGCCAAUCCCACAAAUCUUUGUCUGUCGGAUCUCGUAGAA